Long non-coding RNA from Cyprinus carpio carpio, 1910 nucleotides. NCBI's taxonomy places the organism in Eukaryota, Metazoa, Chordata, Actinopteri, Cypriniformes, Cyprinidae. The record is from Ensembl.
GGUUGAAGAGUUAGAGAGGGAGGGUGUGUGUGUGGGGGGGGGCACGACGCAGAGUGGCGAAUGAACACUGUGGUUUUGCGAGGUUGGCACAGUGCCAUCCACUCAGCGCCGGUGCCAAAGAGGGCGUGUAGGCAGGGUGGCACUACAGAAGAGAGAGGAGGAGAGACAGAUAACAAGAGAAAAGAGAGGCAUCAUCCUCCAAACGAAAUGUUCCCGAGCACUGGAUUCAAAAAGUUGGAGCCCUUUGAAGAUCCAUCCGCCAGCUCGUCAGCAUGGCAACUGUGCUUCGCCAUCCUGCGUUCCGCUGUCUCCUUCGUGACCGUGCCAGGCUCUAAGUAGGCACAUCCCCUAGAGAGUAAGCAGCAGAUGCCCCAAAGUCGAUGCCACUCAACGCGGGUACGAUGGCAUCUGCUCAGUCAUAAUGGAGAUAUGCGACAUGUCUUGUUACUCUCGUUGGCACGCGCCAACCUUCGGCAGUGUGCCAGGAUCUCUGCACUGCAGUAUGCCGCUGGGAAGUUGGCGGUGGCUUGGAAAUGGCAGAGUGCCAGCACGUUCCUGCGGUAACCAGCCCCUGACGCAUGUCACUUGGCAAAGACAAAGAGCCCUAGGGACGAAACACAAAACAAGAUUGAAAAACACAGUGAUCCGACAGCUUAAUUAACACUCACAGAGUUUGUUGGGUUAAUUAGUGUGACAGAUUUGGUGAGGAGGAAUAUGGCAGGAACACUUGUGAGAACAAAAGUGAUGAGCAACCCAGACUGAUGGAAUGUCAUCGGAUGCCAUCAGUAACUCUGCCAACCCUGUGCCAAUGGCACUUUACAUUCAACAAGGUUUGUAAAAGGAUAAAUGGAAUGAAAAGGAAAACAUCAAGAAACUGUCAUUCAAAAACAAGUUUGUUUCAAAUUUUGGACAAGACAGAAGAUUGAGGAAACAAGUGUGGAAACAAGCAAACAGGAAGAAGCUAAAGAAACCACAGGCCUUGACUUACCAUACAGUGACUCAACAGAUCAAUUCAAACACUAAAGUCAUUAUGGAAUAUGGAUUUUAUGUACUACAAAAACAAAACAGAAUGGUUUGCACAAAUGAACACAAGCAAGAGUGAAUUUUCUCUGGUACGUCGGGAACACCAAAAGGAUACAUGUUGGCGGGUGUUAGUAUGGUGAAAUUUACCAGGAGGAUGCACUACUUUUGCAAUUUUAUGGACCUACUAGAGCUUUCCAAAUGCAAGGACAGGACCUUAAACCAUCAUAUAUGCAGUAAUGAGUGAUUUUGUGCUUGAAUACCUGUUCUGAGGAUCCUCAAAACUUCCUGUUGAGUCAGAGAGAAGGUAAUGAGAGUGAGUGGAGAAUUCAGUCCCUCACUGGAUGUGUUUGACAUUGUAGAGGAGCAUAAAUAAUGCAGAUUGUCUCUCCUCCUCUUCCUUCUGGUGCUUUCUGAAGGAAGGGAUUUACACACCUUUGUGCUUCGAAUCUUUCAUUGGCAUUGUUCUCGUUAAAGCGACGCAGGAUUGGUUCCGAAACGGGCAUUGUUUUCAGCAUAACCUUCGAUAAACAAGUUCAAAUUAGACAUUAACAACCUCAUGAAAUGAGCCGAUUAAUUUGCGGGGCUUUUUUUCGCUUUUACGUCUUUCUUUGUACCGAUUGUGGACAAUUGUGUACGGAUAUGCUAAUCACGCUGUAUUAAUGAGCUAUUUCUGCUGCAGUAGUCCUGCAAUGGAGUGACAGAGACGAAGAUGGGAUUUACUAGAUGUAAAGAGAGAAAAAGAGCAAGUCACCGUAGCCACCAGAUCCAGUCUGUAUCCAAGUCAGAGGGUCACUGCAGUCACCCGGAUCCAGUAUGUAUCCAGCCCAGAUGGUGGAUCAGCACCUAGAAAGGACCUCCACAGCCCUGAAAGAUAGCGGAGACCAGGA